RNAcentral lists this ribosomal RNA (771 nucleotides) under Salmonella enterica subsp. enterica serovar Agona str. SA-4. Its description in RNAcentral is "bacterial SSU rRNA". It matches the Rfam family "Bacterial small subunit ribosomal RNA", at positions 774 to 1533 of the family's 1533-position model. Lineage: Bacteria; Pseudomonadati; Pseudomonadota; Gammaproteobacteria; Enterobacterales; Enterobacteriaceae. The record is from RNAcentral.
AGGAUUAGAUACCCUGGUAGUCCACGCCGUAAACGAUGUCUACUUGGAGGUUGUGCCCUUGAGGCGUGGCUUCCGGAGCUAACGCGUUAAGUAGACCGCCUGGGGAGUACGGCCGCAAGGUUAAAACUCAAAUGAAUUGACGGGGGCCCGCACAAGCGGUGGAGCAUGUGGUUUAAUUCGAUGCAACGCGAAGAACCUUACCUGGUCUUGACAUCCACAGAACUUUCCAGAGAUGGACUGGUGCCUUCGGGAACUGUGAGACAGGUGCUGCAUGGCUGUCGUCAGCUCGUGUUGUGAAAUGUUGGGUUAAGUCCCGCAACGAGCGCAACCCUUAUCCUUUGUUGCCAGCGGUCCGGCCGGGAACUCAAAGGAGACUGCCAGUGAUAAACUGGAGGAAGGUGGGGAUGACGUCAAGUCAUCAUGGCCCUUACGACCAGGGCUACACACGUGCUACAAUGGCGCAUACAAAGAGAAGCGACCUCGCGAGAGCAAGCGGACCUCAUAAAGUGCGUCGUAGUCCGGAUUGGAGUCUGCAACUCGACUCCAUGAAGUCGGAAUCGCUAGUAAUCGUGGAUCAGAAUGCCACGGUGAAUACGUUCCCGGGCCUUGUACACACCGCCCGUCACACCAUGGGAGUGGGUUGCAAAAGAAGUAGGUAGCUUAACCUUCGGGAGGGCGCUUACCACUUUGUGAUUCAUGACUGGGGUGAAGUCGUAACAAGGUAACCGUAGGGGAACCUGCGGUUGGAUCACCUCCUUACCUUAAAGAAGC